GACGAACGCUGGCGGCGUGCUUAACACAUGCAAGUCGAACGGAAAGGCCCCUUUGGGGGUACUCGAGUGGCGAACGGGUGAGUAACACGUGAGUAACCUGCCCUUGACUUCGUGAUAACUUCAGGAAACUGGGGCUAAUACCGGUUAGGAAUCCUUUCUGCAUGGUGGGGGUUGGAAAGCUUCGGGGGUUUUGGAUGGACUCGCUGCUUAUCUGCUUUUUGGUGGGGUAGUGGCUUACCAAGGCUUUUACGGGUAGCCGGCCUGAGAGGGGGACCGGCCAAAUUGGGACUGAGAUAAGGCCAAGACUCCUAAGGGAGGCAGAAGGGGGGAAUAUUGAAAAAUGGGCGGAAGCCUGAUGCAGAAAAGCCGCGGGGGGGAUGACGGCCUUAGGGUUGUAAAACGCUUUCAGCAGGGGCGAAGCUUGUGGUGACGGUACCUGCAGAAGAAGCACCGGCUAACUACGUG
Molecule: ribosomal RNA, 465 nt
Filed under: uncultured bacterium
Lineage: Bacteria
Description: partial 16S ribosomal RNA
Rfam family: Bacterial small subunit ribosomal RNA
Source: RNAcentral